GCGAAAACUUUACAAUGCUGGCAACAGCGAUAAGGGAACCUCGAGUGCCAGGUUACAAAUCUGGCUGUCGAGAUGCCUAAAAAGCAUUUCAUAGCAAGGGCCGGGCAAGACCGGUGCCAGCCGCCGCGGUAACACCGGCGGCUCGAGUGGUAACCGUUAUUAUUGGGUCUAAAGGGUCUGUAGCCGGCCGGAUAAGUCUCUUGAGAAAUCUGGCAGCUUAACUGUCAGGCUUGCAGGAGAUACUGUCUGGCUCGAGGCCGGGAGAGGUGAGAGGUACUUCAGGGGUAGGGGUGAAAUCUUGUAAUCCUUGAAGGACCACCAGUGGCGCAGGCGUCUCACCAGAACGGACCUGACGGCAAGGGACGAAAGCUAGGGGCACGAACC
RNAcentral lists this ribosomal RNA (384 nucleotides) under uncultured prokaryote. RNAcentral's name for it is "bacterial SSU rRNA". It matches the Rfam family "Archaeal small subunit ribosomal RNA", at positions 341 to 725 of the family's 1478-position model. The record is from RNAcentral.